Molecule: ribosomal RNA, 737 nt
Filed under: uncultured bacterium
Lineage: Bacteria
Description: bacterial SSU rRNA
Rfam family: Bacterial small subunit ribosomal RNA
Source: RNAcentral
AGGCUCCUAGUAAAGUGGCGAACGGGUGAGUAACACGUGCGUAACCUACCUUUGGAAGGGGGAUAGCAUUUCGAAAGAGGUGAUAAUACCCCAUAGAGUUGUGUGGCAUAAGCCAUACAAUAAAAGAUGGCCUCUAUACAAAGCUAUUGUCCAUAGAUGGGCGCGCGGCCUAUUAGCUAGUUGGUGAGGUAAUGGCUCACCAAGGCGACGAUGGGUAGCUGUCCUUAGAGGGUAAUCGGCCAUACUGGAAUUGAGAUACGGUCCAGACUCCUACGUGAGGCAGCAAGUCGGAAUAUUUGUCAAUGGGCGAAAGCUUGAACAAGCAAUGCCGCGUGAGCGAUGAAGGCCUUCGGGUUGUAAAGCUCUGUGUUUUGGGAAGAAAAACUGGCACGUUAAUAACCUGCCAGAUUGACGGUACCAUAAUAGAAAGCCCCGGCUAACUACGUGCCAGCAGCCGCGGUGAUACGUAGGGGGCAAGCGUUGUUCGGAAUUACUGGGUGUAAAGGGCGUACAGGCGGCUGAGUAAGUCGGAUGUGAAAUCCUUGGGCUUAACCUGAGAACUGCAUUUGAUACUGCUCGGCUUGAGGUUAGGAGAGGAAAGCGGAAUAUGUGGUGUAGCGGUGAAAUGCGCAGAUAUCACAUAGAACACCGGUGGCGAAGGCGGCUUUCUGGCCUAACUCUGACGCUGACGCGCGAAAGCUAGGGGAGCGAACGGGAUUAGAUACCCUGGUAGUCCA